This 415-nucleotide long non-coding RNA is filed under the name Vitis vinifera (wine grape). RNAcentral's name for it is "long non-coding RNA (VVIN_LNC005741)". Lineage: Eukaryota; Viridiplantae; Streptophyta; Magnoliopsida; Vitales; Vitaceae. The record is from RNAcentral.
UUAGUUUGGUUUCUUGAUGAGGGCAUGGCUGUACAAAGGCUAGUUCAUAGCCAUGUGCGCCUGCCCAAGGACAUGGCGACUUUCAUUGAACAAUACAUGUGAGAUAGUGAGAUGGGCUUGCGUGGUAGAGAAGACAAAUAGUCACAUUUCGCCUCAACAAUCUCAUGGAAAAAGCCUCAUCAAUUCUAUUCUUUUAGGGUAUGUUGAUGAUGUUUAUGAGUCAUUGUUAAUUGUUCUUUUUUUUUUUUUUUUUUUUUUUUAUAUUUGAUAAUUGUGGAUAUUGGGUCCUGAAAUUAACGACCGGAUAAAACCUCCAGUGGCCCUGAGGGGACUCGAACUGGUGACCAUUGAGGAGCAAACCCAAGGCCGGACCAACUGAGCUACCCCUUAGGGUUAUUAUUAAUUGUUCUUAAAU